RNAcentral lists this small nucleolar RNA (124 nucleotides) under Balaenoptera musculus (blue whale). The record is from RNAcentral. Lineage: Eukaryota; Metazoa; Chordata; Mammalia; Artiodactyla; Balaenopteridae.
GUUGAGGUCUAUACUGAUGGGGCUUUCUCUGUAGACUUACAUGGUUGGAAAUGCCUCACAGAGUAACUAUGUGGUUUCCUUUACUCACAGGACUAGAUCUGUGGAGAAGAAGUACAAGACAGAG